RNAcentral lists this ribosomal RNA (450 nucleotides) under uncultured bacterium. RNAcentral's name for it is "partial 16S ribosomal RNA". It matches the Rfam family "Bacterial small subunit ribosomal RNA", at positions 354 to 796 of the family's 1533-position model. The record is from RNAcentral.
GUGGGGAAUUUUGGACAAUGGGGGCAACCCUGAUCCAGCAAUGCCGCGUGCAGGAAGAAGGCCUUCGGGUUGUAAACUGCUUUUGUACGGAACGAAAAGGCUCUGGUUAAUACCUGGGGCACAUGACGGUACCGUAAGAAUAAGCACCGGCUAACUACGUGCCAGCAGCCGCGGUAAUACGUAGGGUGCAAGCGUUAAUCGGAAUUACUGGGCGUAAAGCGUGCGCAGGCGGUGCUGUAAGACAGGCGUGAAAUCCCCGGGCUUAACCUGGGAAUGGCGCUUGUGACUGCAGUGCUGGAGUGUGGCAGAGGGGGAUGGAAUUCCGCGUGUAGCAGUGAAAUGCGUAGAUAUGCGGAGGAACACCGAUGGCGAAGGCAGUCCCCUGGGCCUGUACUGACGCUCAUGCACGAAAGCGUGGGGAGCAAACAGGAUUAGAUACCCCUGUAGUCC